UACAGAGGGUGCAAGCGUUGUUCGGAAUUAUUGGGCGUAAAGGGCGCGUAGGCGGUGCGGUAAGUCACCUGUGAAACCUCUGGGCUUAACUCAGAGCCUGCAGGCGAAACUGCCGUGCUUGAGUGUGGGAGAGGUGCGUGGAAUUCCCGGUGUAGCGGUGAAAUGCGCAGAUAUCAGGAGGAACACCGGCGGCGAAGGCGGGUCUCUGGGCCAUAACUGACGCUGAGGAGCGAAAGCGUGGGGAGCGAACAGG
This 253-nucleotide ribosomal RNA is filed under the name uncultured bacterium. RNAcentral's name for it is "partial 16S ribosomal RNA". It matches the Rfam family "Bacterial small subunit ribosomal RNA", at positions 524 to 776 of the family's 1533-position model. The record is from RNAcentral.